This 460-nucleotide ribosomal RNA is filed under the name uncultured bacterium. Its description in RNAcentral is "partial 16S ribosomal RNA". It matches the Rfam family "Bacterial small subunit ribosomal RNA", at positions 338 to 795 of the family's 1533-position model. The record is from RNAcentral.
CCUACGGGAGGCAGCAGUGAGGAAGAUUGGUCAAUGGGCGAGAUUCUGAACCAGCCAAGUCGCGUGAAGGAUGACGGACCUAUGGGUUGUAAACUUCUUUUAUAUGGGAAUAAAAUGUUCCACGUGUGGGAUUUUGUAUGUACCAUAUGAAUAAGGAUCGGCUAACUCAGUGCCAGCAGCCGCGGUAAUACGGAGGAUCCGAGCGUUAUCCGGAUUUAAUGGGUUUAAAGGGAGCGUAGGUGGAUUGUUAAGUCAGUUGUUAAAGUUUGCGGCUCAACCGUACAAUUGCAGUUGAAACUGGCAGUCUUGAGUACAGUAGAGGUGGGCGGAAUUCGUGGUGUAGCGGUGAAAUGCUUAGAUAUCACGAAGAACUCCGAUUGCGAAGGCAGCUCACUGGACUGCAACUGACACUGAGGCUCGAAAGUGUGGGUAUCAAACAGGAUUAGAUACCCCAGUAGUC